Non-coding RNA from Acanthosepion pharaonis, 113 nucleotides. The record is from the annotation of a GenBank genome assembly. Lineage: Eukaryota; Metazoa; Mollusca; Cephalopoda; Sepiida; Sepiidae.
UACGGCCAAAUCGCAUUGAAACACAGGUUCUCGUACGGUCACCUAAGUUAAGCAAUGUUGAACCUGGUCAGUACCUAGGAUGGGUGACCGCUUGGGAAGACCAGGUGUUGUAA